Molecule: transfer RNA, 75 nt
Filed under: Micromonospora arborensis
Lineage: Bacteria; Bacillati; Actinomycetota; Actinomycetes; Micromonosporales; Micromonosporaceae
Description: tRNA-Trp
Rfam family: tRNA
About the family: Transfer RNA (tRNA) molecules are approximately 80 nucleotides in length. Their secondary structure includes four short double-helical elements and three loops (D, anti-codon, and T loops).
Source: RNAcentral
AGGGGCGUAGCCCUCAACUGGUAGAGCACCGGUCUCCAAAACCGAAGGUUGCAGGUUCGAGUCCUGCCGCCCCUG